AGCGAACGCUGGCGGCAGGCUUAACACAUGCAAGUCGAGCGGGCCCUUUCGGGGGUCAGCGGCAGACGGGUGAGUAACACGUGGGAACGUGCCCUUCGGUUCGGAAUAACUCAGGGAAACUUGAGCUAAUACCGGAUACGCCCUUAUGGGGAAAGGUUUACCGCCGAAGGGUCGGCCCGCGUCUGAUUAGCUAGUUGGUGGGGUAACGGCCUACCAAGGCGACGAUCAGUAGCUGGUCUGAGAGGACGAUCAGCCACACUGGGACUGAGACACGGCCCAGACUCCUACGGGAGGCAGCAGUGGGGAAUAUUGGACAAUGGGUGCAAGCCUGAUCCAGCCAUGCCGCGUGAGUGAUGAAGGCCUUAGGGUUGUAAAGCUCUUUUGUCCGGGACGAUAAUGACGGUACCGGAAGAAUAAGCCCCGGCUAACUUCGUGCCAGCCGCCGCGGUAA
This 451-nucleotide ribosomal RNA is filed under the name uncultured bacterium. RNAcentral's name for it is "partial 16S ribosomal RNA". It matches the Rfam family "Bacterial small subunit ribosomal RNA", at positions 29 to 523 of the family's 1533-position model. The record is from RNAcentral.